RNAcentral lists this unclassified non-coding RNA (405 nucleotides) under soil metagenome. RNAcentral describes it as "partial contains 5.8S ribosomal RNA, internal transcribed spacer 2, and large subunit ribosomal RNA". The stretch from base 1 to 121 matches the Rfam family "5.8S ribosomal RNA", at positions 35 to 154 of the family's 154-position model. The record is from RNAcentral.
GAUGAAGAACGUAGCGAAAUGCGAUAAGUAAUGUGAAUUGCAGAAUUCAGUGAAUCAUCGAAUCUUUGAACGCACCUUGCGCCCUUUGGACAUUCCGAAGGGCAUGCCUGUUUGAGUAUCAUGAACACCUCAACUCUCACGGCUUGUCCGUGAUGAGCUUGGACUUUGGGGGUCUUGCCGUCCUGUGGUCGGCUCCUCUCAAAUGGAUCAGCUUGCCAGUGUCUGGUGGCAUCACAGGUGUGAUAACUAUCUGCGCUUGUGGUUUUCCAUCAGAUAACCUUCAGUGAUAUGGAGGUUCGCUGGAGCUCACAAAUGUCUCUCCUUAGUGAGGACAGCUCUUUGAACGUUUGAUCUCAAAUCAGGUAGGACUACCCGCUGAACUUAAGCAUAUCAAUAAGCGGAGGA